RNAcentral lists this long non-coding RNA (1091 nucleotides) under Catharus ustulatus (Swainson's thrush). RNAcentral's name for it is "lncRNA (ENSCUSG00005007173.1)". Lineage: Eukaryota; Metazoa; Chordata; Aves; Passeriformes; Turdidae. The record is from RNAcentral.
CUCAAGGCGCGGUGUGGCUGUCCCUGGGGACGCGGGGACAGCGCUGCGGGCUCUCUGCUGCCCAGCACAGGUGUGAGCCGUGCCCGCCCCCAGGUGCUGCUGCUGUGCUACAAGAGCUGCUGGGACGGCGCCUUCCAGGCCACCGAGGAGGUAAAGCCUCGGUGGGACAGAGCGAGGGGCUCGCCAGCCCCGGGGACACCGCCGAGCCCGGUGACACAGCCGGCUGGGGGACAGGGAGGGGCUCCCCAGCCAGGCUGGGUGCCAGGGGCCAUCUGGGCUCAGCUGCCCCUGGACCUGCGAGUCCCCACUGUCCGUGUUGGCUUCCAGCUCGGCACAGCCCUGCAGCUUAGACUGGAGGGGAGGGAGGAGGAGGAGGUGGACUCAGACUCUGCAUGGGAGCCUGGACAGACAGCGGCGUGGCGAGGGCAGCGAGGCCGUGCUGGGGAGGCUGGAGGCUCUGGAGGCCGAUGUUCGCUUCCUCUGCACCGAGCUGGGGGCUGAGAAGCUUCUGUGGAGCAGCCGGUUCCUGGAGCUGCUGCGGGAGCAGCAGAGCCUGCGCCAAAGGGAUGCCAGUGGAUGGAGGCACCUCGGCAGCCACGUGGCUCCAUCCAGCCUGACAGGCAGAAAAAGAGCAGGAACCAGCUGGAGGCAGGUCAGGACAAGCCCCUGGCCCUGGGUUUGCCCCAGGACACGUCACAGCCCUCCCUGCCCAGGGCUGCCCCUGGACUGACUGUGCCCCACAGGGCUGGCUCUGGUGAAGCCCACUGAGCCCUCCUGCUCUGCUGCUUGUUGGGAGGUUCCAGGAACAAGGAGUCUGGUCAGCACUGGGGUGACAGAUUGCAAAACUCACCCGCUGACUUCCUGCUUGGCCACAUCCAUCCUCUCCAUGAGCUGCUCCUGCACAUGUCGCAACCCUGGGCCAGCUCCUUGAGACAGUGGGCAAGGGCACCCAGCUCCCCAGGCACGGCUGAGCCCCCCUGGCUGCCCACAACACCUGGGCACGGAGCAGCAGCCCCACAGGAGCUGGGCUGAGGGGCUGCCCCGUGCCCAGGCCUGCCCAGCUCAGGGCUGCAUGCACUGCUCAAUACAGG